Molecule: transfer RNA, 77 nt
Filed under: Bifidobacterium reuteri
Lineage: Bacteria; Bacillati; Actinomycetota; Actinomycetes; Bifidobacteriales; Bifidobacteriaceae
Also listed under: 8 other names
Description: tRNA-Val
Rfam family: tRNA
About the family: Transfer RNA (tRNA) molecules are approximately 80 nucleotides in length. Their secondary structure includes four short double-helical elements and three loops (D, anti-codon, and T loops). Further hydrogen bonds mediate the characteristic L-shaped molecular structure. tRNAs have two regions of fundamental functional importance: the anti-codon, which is responsible for specific mRNA codon recognition, and the 3' end, to which the tRNAs corresponding amino acid is attached (by aminoacyl-tRNA synthetases). tRNAs cope with the degeneracy of the genetic code in two manners: having more than one tRNA (with a specific anti-codon) for a particular amino acid; and 'wobble' base-pairing, i.e. permitting non-standard base-pairing at the 3rd anti-codon position.
Source: RNAcentral
GGGCAAUUAGCUCAGUUGGUUAGAGCGCCACCUUUACACGGUGGAUGUCGGGGGUUCGAGUCCCUCAUUGCCCACCU